AUUUUUUGUGGUGAUUAGUCAAACAAGUUUCUCAGGAUUUUUUAACACAUCUUGAAUACUCUGAAUAGUACAUUUGUAAUUUUCAGUUCAUAUAAUAACGAAAGCAAAAUUUCCAUUGAUGAGCAUAAUGCAGAAGCACAGUCGAAGUUGCCAAUCAAAGAAAAUACUGGCGUCUCUUUAUCGAUGUGAGGAAGGGUUUUUUGAACUGACUAUUUAGCUCAGUGCACUGCAAUACGAUAUGAAUGGGGAGCAAUCAAGACUAGAAGUCUCCAAUUAUACUCGAGCGAUACACAGUGAAUGACCAUGCAGCUAGAUGAUCUGUAAGACCAUGAUAAGAAUUAAGACUGCUCGAUCCUAGUGACAAACCAUAGAUUGCGGCUAGAUGGUUUUUGCAUGAUAUAGGAUCAAUGGAUGUUACUGGCAUGAAUUUAGUUUAUACAUCUUUAGGUGUGUCAGCUGAGUAACUCUUAGCAAAUGUUGCAAAUCGUUCCAACCCUUGUGUCAGCAGGUUUUCAGUAAAUGGUUUCAAUGCUGAUGCCACUGGAACCAACAGUUGAGGCACUUCAUACGAAAAUGUAAGCUCUAUGAUGCAGGAUGAUGGGCCUUUGGGGAAAAACCGCACAGCUCCCCUGUUAGGAAGUCCCUCCAGAGAUCUCCAGUGGAUCUUCUGAUUUGGCGUAGGCUGCAUAUUUCGAGCGAGCCAUGAAUAUUCAAUGUUCUGACCGAAAGCUUGAUACUUCAGCGACCAUCUUGAUAAGUCAGGCUUAUCCUCCAAAAUCUGGCAAGAGAGUCUAACAUCAAGUUCCCUCGGAAUGAAAUUAAGUUGGUGAGAUGAGCUGUGUAAUGGAUG
This 850-nucleotide unclassified non-coding RNA is filed under the name Hevea brasiliensis (rubber tree). The record is from RNAcentral. Lineage: Eukaryota; Viridiplantae; Streptophyta; Magnoliopsida; Malpighiales; Euphorbiaceae.